RNAcentral lists this transfer RNA (96 nucleotides) under Mycobacterium paragordonae. RNAcentral describes it as "tRNA-Gly". The record is from RNAcentral. Lineage: Bacteria; Bacillati; Actinomycetota; Actinomycetes; Mycobacteriales; Mycobacteriaceae.
CGGGUGCUCGUCGAGCUGGGCUACGACCGCACCGCCUACCAGGAUGUGCCGGCGCCGGCCGGGCUGUUCCCGCAGAUCGAUCCGGCGGUGCUCGCC